CAGGGAAACAGCGACAUCAUGAGGAGUCCAGAAGGAUCUGUGCUCUAAUGUCUCAAAUAGGAAGGGAGGGGAAAGGGAAUUCGAUGUGGAGGGAGAGUCUGUUUGGCAAGCACUCUACAUAAAAUCCAGCAGAGCUGAACUGUAGUGAGAAAGAGGGAUGAAGGAAAAGACCUGGACCGCCAAAGUGCAUUACAGAAUCCCCGACGAAGGGCAGCCCCAACAUGGGACACAGCUCACUGGAAGUGUAAGAGAAGGAAGGACCCAUGCAACUUACUCACAACCGUCGUCUUAAACUUGUUGUUGUCAUAUUCAGCUCCACAUAUUUCCACCUCCACAAAGGGACAUGCGAUGCUUCGUCCAGGCUUGGGAAGAUGGCGUGCCCCGAGAACCUAGGACACCGAAGCAUGCGAAUAUCUCUGAAGGGGAGUCUGAGCAUGAAGCCCUCAAAGACAGAUGCACCAGGAAGAAGGCGAGUGCAGAAGGAAGCCACUGAACACCUUGAUCCAGCUGUGCCUGAAGGUGGACCUACUUCUAGGCUUUUUAAAUAUGUGAGCUAAUGAAUUUCCUUUCUUUCUUAAUCCAGACUCACUCAGUGUCUGUCACUUGCCAACACAGAACCUGCCAAAUACAAGUGCCCACUGUCAGAUGUACCCAUCAGUCCCCUUAGUCACUCUAUUCAACUGAUGAGCCUCACACUAGCAUGCUGGUUGAACCAGUUCCUAAGACAAAUCACAGGUACUGGGACAGUGUAUUCCACCAGAGGCCCCAGAAGACUGUGCUUGGAAUGACACUACCAUCAUCUUAGAUUUACUGGCCACAAGUUUCCCCU
This is a long non-coding RNA of Phyllostomus discolor (pale spear-nosed bat), 829 nucleotides long. RefSeq lists it as uncharacterized. The transcript is spliced from 3 exons. The record is from RefSeq and is a predicted model, not a curated record. Lineage: Eukaryota; Metazoa; Chordata; Mammalia; Chiroptera; Phyllostomidae.